Long non-coding RNA from Zeugodacus cucurbitae (melon fly), 942 nucleotides. RefSeq lists it as uncharacterized. NCBI's taxonomy places the organism in Eukaryota, Metazoa, Arthropoda, Insecta, Diptera, Tephritidae. The record is from RefSeq and is a predicted model, not a curated record. The transcript is spliced from 2 exons.
CUGACAAAUUGCAAACAAUUUUAUCAAUAUAUAAAGUUAAAAAAGACGAGCUAAUGUAAACAAAAACAUGUAUUGUUUACUAUUUUAUUGUCAAAAGCGGGUAUGUCAAAUACUUAGUUCACUUUGUUGAAUACGCUUUGAUCUAAUACACCUUCACUUCAAGAAAGCAAUCGAUAUUCCAUAAUAAUUUCUAAUCUGAUGUUUUGUUAUAAACUGAAAUUAUCCUUUUCUAUUCUAUUUUUAUUCGAACGAGUCUUAUAUGAAAUUAUAACCUAUAAAUAAUCAACAUUGUGAUCGCUGGCAUUUAAUAUACCGGUUCUAGCAUUUCUACAAAAUUGAAGUGCUACUGCUUUCGUUAACAUAUUUUCCACUUCGCUGAAUUGAAAUAAACAAACAAGUCUAUUACGCUCAAGGUGCUGAGGUUUACGAAAUGAAACUGAUACCUUUAUGUACGAUGACGUGAGUAAUCAAUAGCUUUAAACAAUUAUUCUUCAUUUUUGUUUCUUUUUAAUAUAAUUGAACAUAGAUAUACUAGCUAUACAUAGUGCGCAAAUUGGUAGAAACAAGAAGGAUUAAAAACAGAACUCAAAACAAAAUAUUAAAUGUAAGACUAAGUACACCACAUUUGUGAUUUAUUAAAUUUAACGCCAAUAUUUUAUUUUUAGGGACCACACUUCCCCGUCACAUAAACCGUGACCAAAAAAUUAUCAUGAGACUCAGCACGUAUUCGUGCUGCUUCACCCAAUCUGGCUAGAACAUAUGCUACUGUUCAUCAAAUUCUUUGCCAAAGUGAAACGUCGUUGCUUGAUUGCUUUCUGCCGCGAUUGAGGCAUCUGUCUAAUGGGGAAUAAUGCAAAGACUACAGCACUACAAAAUUUUCUUCGCUAUUGUUGGUAUAUGUUUGCUUUUCAAGUCGGUCCGUAUUUCACAGAAUAUUUAAAU